Molecule: ribosomal RNA, 403 nt
Filed under: uncultured bacterium
Lineage: Bacteria
Description: bacterial SSU rRNA
Rfam family: Bacterial small subunit ribosomal RNA
Source: RNAcentral
AGGUCUUGACAUCCAGUGCAAACCUAAGAGAUUAGGUGUUCCCUUCGGGGACGCUGAGACAGGUGGUGCAUGGCUGUCGUCAGCUCGUGUCGUGAGAUGUUGGGUUAAGUCCCGCAACGAGCGCAACCCUUGUCAUUAGUUGCCAUCAUUAAGUUGGGCACUCUAAUGAGACUGCCGGUGACAAACCGGAGGAAGGUGGGGAUGACGUCAAGUCAUCAUGCCCCUUAUGACCUGGGCUACACACGUGCUACAAUGGACGGUACAACGAGAAGCGAACCUGCGAAGGCAAGCGGAUCUCUUAAAGCCGUUCUCAGUUCGGACUGUAGGCUGCAACUCGCCUACACGAAGCUGGAAUCGCUAGUAAUCGCGGAUCAGCACGCCGCGGUGAAUACGUUCCCGGGCC